Molecule: ribosomal RNA, 460 nt
Filed under: uncultured bacterium
Lineage: Bacteria
Description: partial 16S ribosomal RNA
Rfam family: Bacterial small subunit ribosomal RNA
Source: RNAcentral
CCUACGGGUGGCAGCAGUGAGGAAUAUUGGUCAAUGGGCUUACGCCUGAACCAGCCAAGUCGCGUGAGGGAAGAAUGCCCUAUGGGUUGUAAACCUCUUUUGCCAGGGAGCAACGCCGGCUACGUGUAGCCGGACUGAGAGUACUUGAAGAAAAAGCAUCGGCUAACUCCGUGCCAGCAGCCGCGGUAAUACGGAGGAUGGGAGCGUUAUCCGGAUUUAUUGGGUUAAAAGGGUGCGUAGGCGGAAUGCCAAGUCAGCGGUAAAAUCGCGGGGCUCAACCUCGAUCCGCCGUUGAAACUGGCGUUCUUGAGUGGGCGAGAGGGAGGUAGAAUGCGUGGUGUAGCGGUGAAAUGCAUAGAGAUCACGCAGAACACCGAUUGCGAAGGCAGCAUACCGGCGCCAAACUGACGCUGAGGCGCGAAAGCGUGGGUAUCGAACAGGAUUAGAUACCCUAGUAGUC